CGCCCGGUCCCAUUCCGAACCCGGAAGCUAAGCUCACACGCGCCGAUGGUACUGCACUCGGGAGGGUGUGGGAGAGUAGGUCGCUGCCGAAC
This 92-nucleotide ribosomal RNA is filed under the name Mycobacteriales bacterium. Lineage: Bacteria; Bacillati; Actinomycetota; Actinomycetes; Mycobacteriales. The record is from RNAcentral.